AUUGAACGCUGGCGGCAGGCCUAACACAUGCAAGUCGAACGAGUGGCGGACGGGUGAGUAAUGGCUGGGAAACUGCCUGAUGGAGGGGGAUGACUACUGGAAACGGUAGCUAAUAACGCAUACCAUCGAAUGUGCCCAGAUGGGAUUAGCUAGUAGGCGGGGUAAAGGCUCACCAAGGCGACGCUCCCUAGCGGGUCUGAGAGGAUGACCAGCCAGACUGGAACUGAGACACGGUCCAGACUCCUACGGGAGGCAGCAGUGGGGAAUAUUGCACAAUGGGCGCAAGCCUGAUGCAGCCAUGCCGCGUGUAUGAAGAAGGCCUUCGGGUUGUAAAGUACUUUCAGCGGGGAGGCGUUACCCGCAGAAUAAGCACCGGCUAACGACGUGCCAGCAGCCGCGGUAAUUC
This 406-nucleotide ribosomal RNA is filed under the name uncultured bacterium. RNAcentral describes it as "partial 16S ribosomal RNA". It matches the Rfam family "Bacterial small subunit ribosomal RNA", at positions 30 to 526 of the family's 1533-position model. The record is from RNAcentral.